GAUGAAGAACGUAGCGAAAUGCGAUAAGUAAUGUGAAUUGCAGAAUUCAGUGAAUCAUCGAAUCUUUGAACGCACCUUGCACUCCUUGGUAUUCCGAGGAGUACGCCUGUUCGAGUGUUAUGAAGCUCUCAAAACGCAAUUGGCUUAAAACCUGAUUGUUGUUUUGGAUUUGAACUUUGCCGUGUUAUAACGGCUGUUUUUAAAAGUAUUAGCUGGUACUAGAACGAAUUGGUUCUACUCAACGUGAUAAUUAUCUGAUCGUUGAGGACAUUCCUUUCACGAGGAAUGGCCAUAGUAAAUUCAAUGGACUGCUUCUAAUCUGGCUUUAAUUCUUUAUUGGAUUAACCACUUUUCAAAUCUGACCUCGAAUCAGGUGGGACUACCCGCUGAACUUAAGCAUAUCAAUAAGCGGAGGA
RNAcentral lists this unclassified non-coding RNA (416 nucleotides) under soil metagenome. RNAcentral's name for it is "partial contains 5.8S ribosomal RNA, internal transcribed spacer 2, and large subunit ribosomal RNA". The stretch from base 1 to 120 matches the Rfam family "5.8S ribosomal RNA", at positions 35 to 154 of the family's 154-position model. The record is from RNAcentral.